AUACGGAGGGUGCAAGCGUUGUUCGGAAUUAUUGGGCGUAAAGCGGAUGUAGGCGGUUUGUUAAGUCGGAUGUGAAAUCCCUGGGCUCAACCCAGGAACUGCAUUCGAUACUGGCAAACUAGAGUCUCGGAGGGGGUGGCGGAAUUCCCGGUGUAGAGGUGAAAUUCGUAGAUAUCGGGAGGAACACCAGUGGCGAAGGCGGCCACCUGGACGAUGACUGACGCUCAGAUCCGAAAGCGUGGGGAGCAAACAGGAUUAGAUACCCUAGUAGUCC
Molecule: ribosomal RNA, 274 nt
Filed under: uncultured bacterium
Lineage: Bacteria
Description: partial 16S ribosomal RNA
Rfam family: Bacterial small subunit ribosomal RNA
Source: RNAcentral